CCUACGGGAGGCAGCAGUGGGGAAUCUUGCGCAAUGGGCGAAAGCCUGACGCAGCCAUGCCGCGUGAAUGAUGAAGGUCUUAGGAUUGUAAAAUUCUUUCACCGGGGACGAUAAUGACGGUACCCGGAGAAGAAGCCCCGGCUAACUUCGUGCCAGCAGCCGCGGUAAUACGAAGGGGGCUAGCGUUGCUCGGAAUUACUGGGCGUAAAGGGAGCGUAGGCGGAUAGUUUAGUCAGAGGUGAAAGCCCAGGGCUCAACCUUGGAAUUGCCUUUGAUACUGGCUAUCUUGAGUAUGGGAGAGGUAUGCGGAACUCCGAGUGUAGAGGUGAAAUUCGUAGAUAUUCGGAAGAACACCAGUGGCGAAGGCGGCAUACUGGCCCAUUACUGACGCUGAGGCUCGAAAGCGUGGGGAGCAAACAGGAUUAGAUACCCUGGUAGUCCACGCUGUAAACCGAUGAGUGCUAGUUGUCGGCAUGCAUGCAUGUCGGUGACGCAGCUACGACAUAAGACACUCCGCCGUCGGGUAGGUACGGUCGCGAGAAUUAAACGUAACGAAGAAGUAGACGGCGUGAGACGUGCCGACGGACGACGACGAGGGAGGAGG
This 604-nucleotide ribosomal RNA is filed under the name uncultured bacterium. RNAcentral describes it as "bacterial SSU rRNA". The stretch from base 1 to 518 matches the Rfam family "Bacterial small subunit ribosomal RNA", at positions 338 to 873 of the family's 1533-position model. The record is from RNAcentral.